ACAAAAUGAAGACCUGAUUAUACAGCGUACAUGUUUACCUAGGCUGGAUGCAAGCUACUGUACUUUACAUACCCUGAAAGAUGGAUUCUCUUUUCAGUGAACUGCCCAGAGCCCUGGAUGGGGGUAGGUGAUCCUCCUCGUCUCCCCGACACUACAUUACCUCCUCCACAGUCAUCGGCAUGCAUAUCCGGUAUUCCUUCAGCAUUUUGUGGCAGUUGUGCGAGGUGAGAUGGGAGAUAGCAGAGCAGAAGAGAAGUCGUCAUCAAGGAAAAGACUAACUAUAAACCAUCUGAGACAGUCAGCUGGUGGGUGCCUUCUGACUCCGGCCAGGACAGGAGGUACCCCCCUGCUACUGUCCUGCACCCUGCUGCUGUCGUGGAC
RNAcentral lists this long non-coding RNA (381 nucleotides) under Homarus americanus (American lobster). Its description in RNAcentral is "uncharacterized LOC121874569, transcript variant X3". Lineage: Eukaryota; Metazoa; Arthropoda; Malacostraca; Decapoda; Nephropidae. The record is from RNAcentral.